GACGGGGGCCCGCACAAGCGGAGGAACAUGUGGUUUAAUUCGAUGAUACGCGAGGAACCUUACCCGGGCUUGAACUGCCGGCGAACGAUACAGAGAUGUUGAGGCCCUUCGGGGCGCCGGUGGAGGUGCUGCAUGGUUGUCGUCAGCUCGUGCCGUGAGGUGUCGGCUUAAGUGCCAUAACGAGCGCAACCCCUCUCCGUAGUUGCCAUCGGGUGAUGCCGGGCACUCUGCGGACACUGCCACCGUAAGGUGUGAGGAAGGUGGGGAUGACGUCAAAUCAGCACGGCCCUUACGUCCGGGGCUACACACGUGUUACAAUGGGUGGUACAGAGGGCAGGCGGCCGGCGACGUCCGUCGAAUCCUAAAAGCCAUCCUCAGUUCGGACUGGGGUCUGCAACCCGACCCCACGAAGCUGGAUUCGCUAGUAAUCGCGCAUCAGCCAUGGCGCGGUGAAUACGUUCCCGGGCCUUGUACACACCGCCCGUCAAGCCAUGAAAGCCUGGGGCGCCUGAAGUCCGUGACCGCGAGGGUCGGCCUAGGGUGAAACAGGUGAUUGGGGCUAAGUCGUAACAAGGGAGCCGUACCAAA
RNAcentral lists this ribosomal RNA (588 nucleotides) under uncultured bacterium. RNAcentral's name for it is "bacterial SSU rRNA". It matches the Rfam family "Bacterial small subunit ribosomal RNA", at positions 912 to 1509 of the family's 1533-position model. The record is from RNAcentral.